AAUCCAUAGGUUAAUGAGGCGAACCGGGGGAACUGAAACAUCUAAGUACCCCGAGGAAAAGAAAUCAACCGAGAUUCCCCCAGUAGCGGCGAGCGAACGGGGAGGAGCCCAGAGCCUGAAUCAGCAUGUGUGUUAGUGGAAGCGUCUGGAAAGGCGCGCGAUACAGGGUGACAGCCCCGUACACAAAAGCGCAUGUGCUGUGAGCUCGAUGAGUAGGGCGGGACACGUGGUAUCCUGUCUGAAUAUGGGGGGACCAUCCUCCAAGGCUAAAUACUCCUGACUGACCGAUAGUGAACCAGUACCGUGAGGGAAAGGCGAAAAGAACCCCGGCGAGGGGAGUGAAAAAGAACCUGAAACCGUGUACGUACAAGCAGUGGGAGCACCCUUUGGGUGUGACUGCGUACCUUUUGUAUAAUGGGUCAGCGACUUAUAUUCUGUAGCAAGGUUAACCGAAUAGGGGAGCCGGAGGGAAACCGAGUCUUAACCGGGCGUUAAGUUGCAGGGUAUAGACCCGAAACCCGGUGAUCUAGCCAUGGGCAGGUUGAAGGUUGGGUAACACUAACUGGAGGACCGAACCGACUAAUGUUGAAAAAUUAGCGGAUGACCUGUGGCUGGGGGUGAAAGGCCAAUCAAACCGGGAGAUAGCUGGUUCUCCCCGAAAGCUAUUUAGGUAGCGCCUCGUGAAUUCAUCUCCGGGGGUAGAGCACUGUUUCGGCUAGGGGGCCAUCCCGGCUUACCAACCCGAUGCAAACUGCGAAUACCGGAGAAUGUUAUCACGGGAGACACACGGCGGGUGCUAACGUCCGUCGUGAAGAGGGAAACAACCCAGACCGCCAGCUAAGGUCCCAAAGUCAUGGUUAAGUGGGAAACGAUGUGGGAAGGCCCAGACAGCCAGGAUGUUGGCUUAGAAGCAGCCAUCAUUUAAAGAAAGCGUAAUAGCUCACUGGUCGAGUCGGCCUGCGCGGAAGAUGUAACGGGGCUAAACCAUGCACCGAAGCUGCGGCAGCGACACUGUGUGUUGUUGGGUAGGGGAGCGUUCUGUAAGCCUGCGAAGGUGG
Molecule: ribosomal RNA, 1058 nt
Filed under: Salmonella enterica subsp. enterica serovar Enteritidis
Lineage: Bacteria; Pseudomonadati; Pseudomonadota; Gammaproteobacteria; Enterobacterales; Enterobacteriaceae
Description: partial 23S ribosomal RNA
Rfam family: Bacterial large subunit ribosomal RNA
Source: RNAcentral